This is a long non-coding RNA of Mercenaria mercenaria, 486 nucleotides long. RefSeq lists it as uncharacterized. The transcript has 3 exons. NCBI's taxonomy places the organism in Eukaryota, Metazoa, Mollusca, Bivalvia, Venerida, Veneridae. The record is from RefSeq and is a predicted model, not a curated record.
AAAGAGCUAUAAAAAUCUUCUUUGCGCAACUAUGAAAAAAAUAAAAUAUAAAAAAGCGGCAUUUAGAGUUUUGGAAGCCAGGACUAGUCCAGACCUGCAAAAUAUUUACAAGCAUAGACUGAAGAAGUGUGAAGCAUACUGAAGUGAUGUGUGUGUGUGUUCCACAGCAAUAAAUUAUGGAAAGAAAAGCAGUGCACUGCAGUGAAUUGCACAGGCCAAGAUGUCUCAAGUUGUACAUUCAAACAGAAGUGAUGGGUGACAGGCUUUUACUAGCAACUUGUGAAGAAAAAUCAGGUAGCUAGAGCAGAGACCAGAUGCUGUGAUUGAUGCAAACAGGGAGAGACGUUUUACAAUUGAAAUGAUAGACUCUGAUAUUUGCAUGUAUUGUUUUGUAUGAUGAACUUUGUCCGUGCAAGUGGCUAUGCCCGUAAAAGAGGCACACUUUUGCUCAUUGUGUUUGUUAUCUUUUUAAAAAUAUAUAAAGUA